CCUACGGGUGGCAGCAGUGGGGAAUAUUGGACAAUGGGGGCAACCCUGAUCCAGUCAUGCCGCGUGUGUGAAGAAGGCCCUCGGGUUGUAAAGCACUUUCAGUGAGGAAGAACGCCUGGUGGUUAAUACCCAUCAGGAAAGACAUCACUCACAGAAGAAGCACCGGCUAACUCCGUGCCAGCAGCCGCGGUAAUACGGAGGGUGCGAGCGUUAAUCGGAAUUACUGGGCGUAAAGCGCGCGUAGGUGGCUUGAUAAGCCGGUUGUGAAAGCCCCGGGCUCAACCUGGGAACGGCAUCCGGAACUGUCAAGCUAGAGUGCAGGAGAGGAAGGUAGAAUUCCCGGUGUAGCGGUGAAAUGCGUAGAGAUCGGGAGGAAUACCAGUGGCGAAGGCGGCCUUCUGGACUGACACUGACACUGAGGUGCGAAAGCGUGGGUAGCAAACAGGAUUAGAUACCCCUGUAGUC
This 465-nucleotide ribosomal RNA is filed under the name Vreelandella stevensii. RNAcentral describes it as "partial 16S ribosomal RNA". It matches the Rfam family "Bacterial small subunit ribosomal RNA", at positions 338 to 795 of the family's 1533-position model. Lineage: Bacteria; Pseudomonadati; Pseudomonadota; Gammaproteobacteria; Oceanospirillales; Halomonadaceae. The record is from RNAcentral.